Solanum pennellii is the source of this 463-nucleotide long non-coding RNA. RefSeq lists it as uncharacterized. NCBI's taxonomy places the organism in Eukaryota, Viridiplantae, Streptophyta, Magnoliopsida, Solanales, Solanaceae. The transcript is spliced from 3 exons. The record is from RefSeq and is a predicted model, not a curated record.
UUGACCCUAUAACUACCGCAAUAAUGUUUAUUACUCUUCCAAACUUAGCCCAAUCCCUCUCAUCCACUCAUACUCACAAAUUCUUUCAGGGGUUUCUUCUCCAAGUUCUCUCCAAGGAUCUUCAAUUCAAUUAGGAUUUCAUCAAGCUUCAAGCAGUGAGAGGACUUCGAGAUAGAGGUCUUCCCAUUAUGAAAGGAUCCAACGUUCCUCCUCUUGGAUGUGGAUAGACAGAGAUUGCUCUACUACAACUGGAUUGGUUAAUCAUCAUAUUUUGAGAGCAAGGCUAUGGACUGCUUUAUUGCUUUUUGAUGUCAUUGAAUUUUCAGCUAUCAUUUAUGACAUAUGGGUUUGAUCUAGUCACAUUUAUGAGUAAAAAAGGCUUAUGUCAAACUUAGUAGUAUUUCACAUGUUCACUUAUGUACUCAGUUGAUAUCUCUUAUCUCAUUUACAAUGUUGAGACUUA